GGGCCCAUUUCGAACACAAAAGUUAAGUCCUCAAGCGCCUAUGGUACUGCACUGGUAACGGUGUGGGAGAGUAGGUCACUGCCGGAU
RNAcentral lists this ribosomal RNA (87 nucleotides) under Halanaerobium sp. DL-01. RNAcentral also lists the same sequence under 1 other name. The record is from RNAcentral. Lineage: Bacteria; Bacillati; Bacillota; Clostridia; Halanaerobiales; Halanaerobiaceae.